CUCGAAGUUUCUUGCGGGUGGAUUCAGUCAGGAGUCUACGAUCCUUUCUCGGUACGUGACCCCUCUAUUAUUUUAUAUAAUAGAAAAAAAAGGGGGACUCCGUUCGAAGGCGUGACUCGAAGGGGGCCUGACGCAUUUCCAACCCGCACGAAGGACGCCGCAGCCGGUUGGGUAGCUGCGCGUGUCGGCCAUGAGGAUGGGCAGUGGCAGUAGACCGUUUCUCGCUGUCUAAGUGGCGUUUGCCGGUUGUUUAGCCAGUCCAUCCGUGGCGCGACACCCGACCGAGGUUAAGGAGGUUCACUAGUUGGACCUCGCCGUCCCCUCACCUAAAAAUAAUUGGUGAGCGGGCCAGCGGACAGGCGAGUUGCUGCGCAAUGCCACUUACGUCCUCGAACUGGGUGGGGCGCAGUAGCCGCUGUUGGUCCGAUCAUCUGGCUAAGACCGCGUUAGGGAUUUGAUGGCUUGUGGCGAGUAGGUCGGUCACCCACCCGACCCGUCUUGAAACACGGACCAAGGAGUCUAACAUGUGCGCAAGUCAUGGGGUCUUGAUUAGGCCCAGAGGCAUAAUGAAAGUGACAUAUGUAUACAUAUGUAGAAGUUGGAUCUCUGAUUUUUAUUGGUAUAUGGAGUUGGGAUUUCCCGAGGAGUGUCUAUAGCGACUCCGGAAAGCACCAACGGCCCGCCCUGUUCUAAUUAUUAUUAGUGUGGACGGCGUUUGAGCGCACACGUUGGGACCCGAAAGAUGGUGAACUAUGCCAGGGCAGGACGAAGCCAGAGGAAACUCUGGUGGAGGUCCGCAGCGGUU
This 805-nucleotide ribosomal RNA is filed under the name Antrodiaetus sp. MY2880. RNAcentral describes it as "partial 28S ribosomal RNA". It matches the Rfam family "Eukaryotic large subunit ribosomal RNA", at positions 498 to 885 of the family's 3401-position model. Lineage: Eukaryota; Metazoa; Arthropoda; Arachnida; Araneae; Antrodiaetidae. The record is from RNAcentral.